RNAcentral lists this ribosomal RNA (468 nucleotides) under uncultured bacterium. RNAcentral's name for it is "partial 16S ribosomal RNA". It matches the Rfam family "Bacterial small subunit ribosomal RNA", at positions 28 to 507 of the family's 1533-position model. The record is from RNAcentral.
GACGAACGCUGGCGGCGUGCCUAACACAUGCAAGUCGAACGGAAAGGCCCUGCUCUUGCGGGUUUCACGUUUGGCGAACGGGUGUGUAACACGCGUGUAACACCUCCCUGACUUUGGGGUAACUUCAGGAAACUGGGGCUAUAAUCCGAUAUGAGCUCCUGCUGCAGGGUGGGGGUUGGAAAGUUUCGGCGGUUGGGGAUGGACUCGCGGCGCAUCAGCUUGUUGGUGGGGUAGUGGCUUACCAAGGCUAUGCCGGGUAGCCGACCUGGGAGGGGGACCGGCCACGUCAGGACUGAGAUACGACCCAGACUCCAACGGGACGCAACGGUGGGGAGUAUUACACAGUGGGCGGGAGCCUGAUGCGACGACGCCGCGUGCGGGAUAACGGGCUUCGGGUUGUAAACCGCUUUCGCCUGUGACGAGGCGUGAGUGACGGUAAUGGAUAAGAAAGCACCGGAUAACUACGUG